ACGGGAGGCAGCAGUGGGGAAUUUUCCGCAAUGGGCGAAAGCCUGACGGAGCAAUCUCGCGUGAGGGAUGACUGCCUAUGGGUUGUAAACCUCUUUUUUCAGGGAGGAAUAAAUGACGUGUACCUGAAGAAUAAGCAUCGGCUAACUCCGUGCCAGCAGCCGCGGUAAGACGGAGGAUGCAAGUGUUAUCCGGAAUCACUGGGCGUAAAGCGUCUGUAGGUGGUUUAAUAAGUCAACUGUUAAAUCUUGAAGCUCAACUUCAAAAUCGCAGUCGAAGCUAUUAGACUAGAGUAUAGUAGGGGUAAAGGGAAUUUCCAGUGGAGCGGUGAAAUGCGUAGAGAUUGGAAAGAACACCGAUGGCGAAGGCACUUUACUGGGCUAUUACUGACACUCAGAGACGAAAGCUAGGGUAGCAAAUGGGAUUAGAUACCCCAGUAGUCCUAGCCGUAAACAAUGGAUACUAGAUGUUGAACAGAUCGACCUGUGCAGUAUCAAAGCUAACGCGUUAAGUAUCCCGCCUGGGAAGUAUGCUCGCAAGAGUGAAACUCAAAGGAAUUGACGG
RNAcentral lists this ribosomal RNA (562 nucleotides) under uncultured bacterium. Its description in RNAcentral is "bacterial SSU rRNA". It matches the Rfam family "Bacterial small subunit ribosomal RNA", at positions 341 to 916 of the family's 1533-position model. The record is from RNAcentral.